CAGUCGCCGCGGUAAUACGUAGGGUGCAAGCGUUAAUCGGAAUUAUUGGGCGUAAAGGGCUCGCAGGCGGUUUCUUAAGUCUGAUGUGAAAGCCCCCGGCUCAACCGGGGAGGGUCAUUGGAAGCUGGGAAACUUGAGUGCAGAAGAGGAGAGUGGAAUUCCACGUGUAGCGGUGAAAUGCGUAGAGAUGUGGAGGAACACCAGUGGCGAAGGCGACUCUCUGGUCUGUAACUGACGCUGAGGAGCGAAAGCGUGGGGAGCGAACAGGAUUAGAUACCCGCGUAGUCCCUGUCUCUUAUAC
Molecule: ribosomal RNA, 301 nt
Filed under: uncultured bacterium
Lineage: Bacteria
Description: partial 16S ribosomal RNA
Rfam family: Bacterial small subunit ribosomal RNA
Source: RNAcentral